This 213-nucleotide ribosomal RNA is filed under the name Triticum aestivum (bread wheat). Its description in RNAcentral is "partial small subunit ribosomal RNA". The record is from RNAcentral. Lineage: Eukaryota; Viridiplantae; Streptophyta; Magnoliopsida; Poales; Poaceae.
AUGAGCUGCAUAAGCUGGAACUGUCGGGCGCUUGGGAACCCCGAGGCAGUUCGAGAGCUUCGCAAUAUUGUGAAGCAAGAGUUACCCCUCCUACUCUUUUUCAUGGAAAAUAAAAUAUCAGCGAAAAGAGUAGAGAGCCUGCAACAUUCGCUGGGAUUUACAGGAUGUUUUGCAGUUAAUAGCACGGGAUUGAGCGGCGGCAUCGGACUAUUU